Long non-coding RNA from Triticum aestivum (bread wheat), 3705 nucleotides. RefSeq lists it as uncharacterized. The record is from RefSeq and is a predicted model, not a curated record. NCBI's taxonomy places the organism in Eukaryota, Viridiplantae, Streptophyta, Magnoliopsida, Poales, Poaceae. The transcript has 2 exons.
GCGCGUCUCGUCGCGGUCAGGAUUCGCCCGUGCCCCACGCUCGCGCUGCAGAACGUGCAAAAGGGUCAAAACCCUAGCCGCCAGCACUUCUCGUCAAGCCCGCGCCCCUUCCGCCUCGUCUCCUCCCUGCCCCCUCCUCUCCCACGAUGCCACCCUCGAGCCCGCGCCACCUCCACCUCGUCUCCUCCCCGCUCCCUCCUCUCCAACGCCGCCGCCCUCGAUGCGCCGUAAGGGACGACCAAGACAGCGGUUGGGUCGGCCAGAGGUAGAAGGCCAUGGCGAUUCAGCUGUCUGUGUGCGCAAGCAGCGGCGGUUCAUGGAGCGGAGCGAGUCCACACCCCCGUCGUUCUAGCCACACCCUCCGCGCCGCCUCCGCUUCCUCCUCCUCCUCUAUUUUUUUCGAUUUCGUCACCCGUCGGAGGCUGUUGCUGCUCGGGUCCCUGGGGGCGCCUCUGCGUGGCUGACGAGAGGAGGGGAGCAGUAGCCGCAGCAAGCAGGCCAUCGAGGAGGGCAAACGGCAGUGGGCCUCCACCCCGUCUCCUCCCUGCUCCCUCCUCUCCAACACCGCCGCCCUCGAUGCGCCGUAAGGGACGCCGUCGACAUGUCGGGGAUACGCAUCGAGCCCGCGCCGCCUCCACGUCGUCUCCUCCCCGCUCCCUCCUCUCCAACGCCGCCACCCUCGAUGCGCCGUAAGGGACACCGUCGACAUGUCGGGGAUACGCUGCGACAGAGCUCAGCAGGAGCACAGCAGAAAUCCACUCCUAACCCUGCUCGCUCGAUUGACAAGAGCAGGGCAACGGAUUGGAUCGAGGGCGCCCUGGCCUCGCCGCCGCUGCCACCUCAAUUCGCUAGCCGCUGCGUGGAGUAACCCUGGCCGCUGCCUCGAGUCACCUCCGUCGCCGCCGUGAGUCACCUCCAUCGUUGCCGCCAGGAAUCCCGCCCUGGCAAGGAAAAUUCCCAAGGAUUUGAUUGAUGGAGGCAUCACUAUUUGGUGUUGGAUUAUCCAUUUUUGCAGCACCAGCAAUGUUCUUUUUGUUUGGAAUGGCCAGUUCUCAAUUUCUAAAUCAGCUACACUAUACUUCUUAUCAGGUUAAAUUAUCUUGCUUUGUUUCAGUCUAUAUGUAGCAUAAAAAUAGGUGACAUGGUUGGUUUGUAUGUUACACUAAGAACACCACCAUAAGGAAAAGGGCAUUGCACUUCUUUGUUUAUAUUUGGUUUGUUCCUAUUCGGUUUGAUGUAGUACUUAAUUGCUACAACAUUUCAAGUUUCUUGUUGUUUCAUUGUAUUCACUUAUGAUAUAUUUUUCAACUAUACAAGCACUUGGGGGAGUCAGGAAAACUGAACCAAAGACAAACACUUUUACCGGUGAUGUUCGGGCUUUUUUUAACUGAGAUGUGAAAGAUGCAUCUUAUCCCUUGAGAUAUAUUGCCUUAAAUCUCUUGAUUUUUUUCCCUGACAUGCUAAUAUAGAGCCAGAUAUGCAUGAUUCAUCAUACACAUUACUGUCAAUUAUCUAUUGGAAUCUUUUGUCCAUAGAGGUGAUUUUGUUUGGAUCAUUAGUCUAGGUAGUGACAUUUUUUAUUGAUAAGGCACAAGUUUAUUUUCUUUUUCACCCGAGCUACACUAAAGUAAGCAUCACCGUCAAUGAAAAGAAGGCAUACAAAUCAUGAAGUUUUUGCCUUGGCUGUGUGCCUCGUUUAAUUGUCACUUAUUUAUUUCUAGGAAGUUAUUCAAUUCUCAUCGAGCUUUCCUUAUGCUUUAAAGAAGAAAUUUAAAUACGCAAUAUUUUUAAUAUCUGAGGAGGCGAGAGGAGAUGAAAAAGGGCUGUAAGGUCGUAUUUUGGUGCGUCUCUGGCCAAUGAUGGCUGGAUCCAUCUGAUGCUCUUCCAAGCAGAGCAGUUCAGAUUUGCUGACUGGUACAACAUCUAAACCUUGGCUACUCUAGCUUCUUUUUACAUCUCUUAGUAUCAACAAAUAAGUUGGUUACAGUAUAUACUUGAAGAUUGCAGCAGGCACAAAAUGCUUGGCUAACCAGCCGGUUAAUUGAGUUGUGCCUACGAAGGAUCAGUAGAGUAGUUGGUUUUUCCUAAAAUAAAUGAGGAUUAGUUUGGUUGCCAUGCGACGGUAAGGCCAAACAUUGGUUCUGUAAUGGUCAUAUGUGUUGUGGAGUUGGAACUUGAUUCUUUUUAAGUUGGAGUGGCUAGGUUGUCUAUAUGUAUUGCAUUAUUUUUCUACGGUGUACUAUUCUUUCUAAAUGAUUUUUUAAAGUUUAGUAUUUAAGUUUACGACAUUAUUCUGCGGUGUACUGUUCUUUCUACAACAUACUGUUAAUAUCUUAUGCUUUUCAACAUUGCACGGUUAAAACCUUCUGUAUAAGAUCUUGCGCUUUCAACAUCUGCUCAUGGCGUUGUGUGUAUUCUGCUAUGAACUGUUUACAUUAUAGAGUUGUGGUACCUACAUUUGUGCGAUUCCUUUUAGCUGAUGUUUGUUGCUCAUACUGACAAAAGGUGCAUUAACAAAUGAUUGCAGAGCAGCGGAGAAACAUGUUUCUACAAAUGUGCCAAAACUGAUGGAUUUAACUACAUGUAUUGAUGUAUUGCAUUAUGCAACUGUAAGUCUGUUCUAAACUCUAAGCCCCAUGUAAAUCUGAUGGAAGAUUGGGCCAUUUAAUUUGAACCAAAAAGGGUGAUAUGCUCUCAGUUGCUUGAAUCUGUCCAGACCUGAAAAUUAGAUGUACUUGAAAGCUUGAUAUAUGAGUAGGAGAUAGUUGAUAAAGGUGUACCUCUUGUAUAACUGAUAUCCCUUUGAUCUUCGUUAAAUUUUGUAGGAUAUGCAUUGUGCUUGAGCAUGAGAAAUCCUUUCCCUCCCUGCAUUAUCUUUAUAUGUUAUAAAAAUGUUACACAUGUUUUGGUCCUCCAAAAGAUUAUUAGCCCAUAAUGUUAAUAACUCUUAUGUAUGAUGAUUGAGUGAAAUAUCCUUUUAUCUCCAGGCAUUUCUUUUAUGUAGUGGAUAUACAAAAUAAACUGUAUGACCUAGACUGUAGGAGCAACUGGUGCUUGUGGGAUUGGUGCUUGCAGUUGUUGUGGCAGCUGUUCUUGAGGGCCGAGCUGAAUGUAUUUGAUAAAGGUCUUUGCUUCAUUUUUUUUCUUUCAACGGGAUAAUGACUUGUCGUUUCAAAACACUUAGUAUGUGACCUAUCCAUCAAAUUAUAAUAUAAUAAUUCAGCAAAAUCCCUUUAUUUGAACGAGCAAGAAUCUGUGGUGUGCUCCUGACCUAUGUUCCCCUUUUCAAAAUGUUAGAAAGGCUAUCUUAACUUAGUCGUUGCAUAGAAAUUGGUUUUGUCUAUUAGGCUCAUUUCAUAUCUGGAUCACUUAUUUGAACGACAAUGAACACUCCACAACUGAACUCACAUAAGAGGGCUGAUAGAUGAUAUCUUGUCUGCUCAGUGAUUACCUAGAAUACUGGACUUUCCACCAACUUACAAAAAUAUUUUUUGCAGGUAUAUUUCAUUAAUCACUCCCCCAGCAGACAUGAGUUCUCGUGGCGGGGUGUUUCAUGCCGUCAUGUUAGGAAUUUAUUAUUGUAUUGCAUAUGAGGUCCUUCUUUAGGUUUCCACUUGUUUCUUACUUAAUUAGCUGUCCAUUCUGGAUUUAACGUGAAUAUUGCCUUUGUAUUGCAUAUUAAAUUCUACUAUUUGUUUUAGCUUC